GAUGAACGCUGGCGGUAUGCCUAACACAUGCAAGUCGUACGAGAGUUUUUAACUCUAGUGGCGGACGGGUGAGUAACACGUGAGAAUUUGCCUUUAGGAGGGGGACAACAAUCGGAAACGAAUGCUAAUACCCCAUAUGCUUUCGAGUGAAAUGGAUUUUAUCCGCCUAGAGAGAAGCUCGCGGCUGAUUAGCUUGUUGGUAAGGUAAGAGCUUACCAAGGCGACGAUCAGUAUCUGGUUUGAGAGGACGAUCAGACACACUGGAACUGAGACACGGUCCAGACUCCUACGGGAGGCAGCAGUGGGGAAUUUUCCGCAAUGGGCGAAAGCCUGACGGAGCAAUACCGCGUGAGGGAAGACUGCCUAUGGGUUGUAAACCUCUUUUUCAGGGAGGAAUAAAAUGACGUGUACCUGAAGAAUAAGCAUCGGCUAACUCCGUG
Molecule: ribosomal RNA, 440 nt
Filed under: uncultured bacterium
Lineage: Bacteria
Description: bacterial SSU rRNA
Rfam family: Bacterial small subunit ribosomal RNA
Source: RNAcentral